GACGAACGCUGGCGGCGUGCUUAACACAUGCAAGUCGAACGGAAAGGCCCUGCUUUUGUGGGGUGCUCGAGUGGCGAACGGGUGAGUAACACGUGAGUAACCUGCCCUUGACUUUGGGAUAACUUCAGGAAACUGGGGCUAAUACCGGAUAGGAGCUCCUGCUGCAUGGUGGGGAUUGGAAAGUUUCGGCGGUUGGGGAUGGACUCGCGGCUUAUCAGCUUGUUGGUGGGGUAGUGGCUUACCAAGGCUUUGACGGGUAGCCGGCCUGAGAGGGUGACCGGCCACAUUGGGACUGAGAUACGGCCCAGACUCCUACGGGAGGCAGUAGUGGGGAAUAUUGCACAAUGGGCGGAAGCCUGAUGCAGCAACGCCGCGUGCGGGAUGACGGCCUUCGGGUUGUAAACCGCUUUCGCCUGUGACGAAGCGUGAGUGACGGUAAUGGGUAAAGAAGCACCGGCUAACUACGUG
RNAcentral lists this ribosomal RNA (468 nucleotides) under uncultured bacterium. Its description in RNAcentral is "partial 16S ribosomal RNA". It matches the Rfam family "Bacterial small subunit ribosomal RNA", at positions 28 to 507 of the family's 1533-position model. The record is from RNAcentral.